AUGUAAGUAGUUUAUCAAAAAUAAUGAUUUGUGGUGUCAUGGAAAUAAAAUUUUUAUCUUAAAUU
RNAcentral lists this transfer RNA (65 nucleotides) under Colochela zhongi. RNAcentral's name for it is "tRNA-His". The record is from RNAcentral. Lineage: Eukaryota; Metazoa; Arthropoda; Insecta; Hymenoptera; Tenthredinidae.